Triticum aestivum (bread wheat) is the source of this 482-nucleotide long non-coding RNA. RefSeq lists it as uncharacterized. The transcript is spliced from 2 exons. The record is from RefSeq and is a predicted model, not a curated record. NCBI's taxonomy places the organism in Eukaryota, Viridiplantae, Streptophyta, Magnoliopsida, Poales, Poaceae.
AGGAACCCAGGCAUAUCUGAAAAGAUUGGCUUGACAUCCCAGUAAACACGCUAUCUCUCUCUCUCUCUGUCUCCACCAUCAAGCCAGGAUGAGGUCGUUGUACAAGAUGCUACUACUUUCGCUUGCCCUUGUAGCGCUGCUAUCCUCAGAUCUGACGAUCCAGGCGACGGCUAAUGGUGGCGGCUCGCUAAUCCCUGAAGACUGCCGGCAGACCCUUGUCAUCCGUGGGCCCUGUAACCCCAAGGCUUGUCAACGCAACUGUCAAACCAACGUCGGCCCCGGUGCCGUUGGCGACUGUGAUGCCGGUGGAUGCCGGUGCACAUACUGUACUCCAUCUCAGUGGAAUUAAGCAGUGAUUGUUGCUUAAUUGCUCCCCGUUCCGAUAAUAUGCAAAAUCUUAGUUUUUUCUUCUGUCUGGCUACCUGUCAAAUACUCCUACUUGGAAACUCAAAUCAGGAAUGUCAGAAAUUUGAUCGAUUCUA